Molecule: ribosomal RNA, 2337 nt
Filed under: Magnetococcales bacterium
Lineage: Bacteria; Pseudomonadati; Pseudomonadota; Magnetococcia; Magnetococcales
Description: partial 23S ribosomal RNA
Rfam family: Bacterial large subunit ribosomal RNA
Source: RNAcentral
AAAGAAGCAAGUAAGGGCGUAUGGUGGAUGCCUUGGAGCCAAGAGGCGAUGAAGGACGUAGCACGUUGCGAUAAGCCACGGGGAGUUGCGAGCGAACUUUGAUCCGUGGAUUUCCGAAUGGGGAAACCCAGCAGUCUACAGGACUGUUAUCAUGAUCUGAAUACAUAGGGUCAUGAAGCAAACGCGGGGAACUGAAACAUCUUAGUACCCGCAGGAAAAGAAAUCAAAAGAGAUUCCGGGAGUAGUGGCGAGCGAAACCGGAUUAGGCCGACGACAUCAAGCGUAACAUCUUAAUCGAACACUCUGGAAAGGGUGGCCAUAGACGGUGACAGCCCGGUAGGUGAAAAGACGUUAUGUGGGUCGUCAAGAGUAGGGCGGGACACGUGGAAUCCUGUCUGAACAUGGGAGGACCUCCUUCCAAGCCUAAAUACUCCUUGGCUACCGAUAGUGAACCAGUACCGUGAGGGAAAGGUGAAAAGAACCCCGAUAAGGGGAGUGAAAUAGAACCUGAAACCGUGCGCCUACAAGCAGUGGGAGGGCUAUGCCGCAAGGCCAGCCUGACCGCGUACCUUUUGUAUAAUGGGUCAGCGAGUUGGUUUCCAUAGCAAGCUUAAGCCGAGAGGUGUAGGCGAAGCGAAAGCGAGUCUGAAUAGGGCGACAAGUUAUGGGGAUCAGACCCGAAGCCGGGUGAUCUAUCCAUGGACAGGGUGAAGGUUCGGUAACGCGAACUGGAGGCCCGAACCCACCAAGGUUGAAAACUUGGGGGAUGAGCUGUGGAUAGGAGUGAAAGGCUAAACAAACCCGGAAAUAGCUGGUUCUCUCCGAAAACUAUUUAGGUAGUGCCUCGUGUAUGUCUGCCGGGGGUAGAGCACUGAAUGGGCUAGGGAGGCCCAAAGCCUUACCAAACCCAACCAAACUCCGAAUACCGGUAGGAUUGAGCACGGGAGACAGACGGCGGGUGCUAAGGUCCGUCGUCAAAAGGGAAACAGCCCAGACCGCCAGCUAAGGUCCCUAAGUCAGGUUUAAGUGGGAAAGGAUGUGGAAAUGCAUAGACAACCAGGAAGUUGGCUUAGAAGCAGCCACCUUUUAAAGAAAGCGUAAUAGCUCACUGGUCGAGUAGGUCUGCGCCGAAAAUUUAACGGGGCUUAAAACCUGUACCGAAGCUGCGGAUGGUAGUCGCAAGACUAUCAUGGUAGGAGAGCGUUCCGUAAGUCAGUGAAGCCGUACCGAAAGGAGCGGUGGAGAUAUCGGAAGUGAGAAUGCUGACAUGAGUAGCGAGAAGCAGGUGAGAAACCUGCUCGCCGAAAGCCCAAGGUUUCCUGCGCUAGGUUAAUCCGCGCAGGGUUAGUCGGCCCCUAAGGAGAGGCAUACAUGCGUAUCUGAUGGGAAACCGGUCAAUAUUCCGGUACCGCACAUAACUGCGAUGGGGGGACGGAGAAGGGUAAAUCUACCGGGUAGUGGUCGUCCCGGGUUAAGCGUGUAGACGGGUCUGGCAGGAAAAUCCACCGGACCAUUCAACGUCAAGGCGUGAUGACGAGUCUUCGGACGAAGUGAUUGAUCCCAUGCUCCCAAGAAAAGCCUCUAAGCUUCAGGUUAUGUGUGACCGUACCCUAAACCGACACAGGUGGGCUGGGAGAGAAUCCCGAGGCGAUUGAGAGAAUCUAGGUGAAGGAACUCGGCAAAAUAGCCCCGUAACUUCGGGAGAAGGGGUGCCUUAAGUAGGUGAAGCGGUUUACCCGCAGAGCCGAACGAGGUCGCAGUGACCAGGGGGAAGCGACUGUUUACCAAAAACACAGGGCUCUGCGAAGUCGCAAGACGACGUAUAGGGUCUGACGCCUGCCCGGUGCCGGAAGGUUAAGGGGGGGAGUGCAAGCUCCGAACCGAAGCCCCAGUAAACGGCGGCCGUAACUAUAACGGUCCUAAGGUAGCGAAAUUCCUUGUCGGGUAAGUUCCGACCUGCACGAAUGGCAUAAUGAUGGCGGCGCUGUCUCCAGCAGAGACUCAGUGAAAUCGAAAUCGCAGUGAAGAUGCUGUGUACCCGCGGCUAGACGGAAAGACCCCGUGAACCUUUACUGCAGCUUGACAUUGAACUUUGACCUUACUUGUGUAGGAUAGGUGGGAGGCUUUGAAGUUGGAACGCCAGUUCCAAUGGAGCCGUCCUUGAAAUACCACCCUGGUAAUGUUGAGGUUCUAACUCUGUCCCGUUAUCCGGGACGAGGACCAUGUCUGGUGGGUAGUUUGACUGGGGCGGUCUCCUCCUAAAGAGUAACGGAGGAGUACGAAGGUGCGCUCAGAACGGUCGGAAAUCGUUCGAAGAGUAUAAAGGCAAAAGCGCGC